GAUGAACGCUGGCGGCGUGCUUAACACAUGCGAGUCGAACGAAGCAUUUAGAACAGAUUACUUCGGUUUGAAGUUCUUUAUGACUGAGUGGCGGACGGGUGAGUAACGCGUGGGUAACCUGCCUUGUACUGGGGGAUAGCAGCUGGAAACGGCUGGUAAUACCGCAUAAGCGCACAAUGUUGCAUGACAUGGUGUGAAAAACUCCGGUGGUAUAAGAUGGACCCGCGUCUGAUUAGCUAGUUGGUGAGAUAACAGCCCACCAAGGCGACGAUCAGUAGCCGACCUGAGAGGGUGACCGGCCACAUUGGGACUGAGACACGGCCCAGACUCCUACGGGAGGCAGCAGUGGGGAAUAUUGCACAAUGGAGGAAACUCUGAUGCAGCGACGCCGCGUGAGUGAAGAAGUAAUUCGUUAUGUAAAGCUCUAUCAGCAGGGAAGAUAGUGACGGUACCUGACUAAGAAGCUCCGGCUAAAUACGUG
Molecule: ribosomal RNA, 481 nt
Filed under: uncultured bacterium
Lineage: Bacteria
Description: partial 16S ribosomal RNA
Rfam family: Bacterial small subunit ribosomal RNA
Source: RNAcentral